UAAUCACUUGUCUUUCAAAUGAAGACCUGUAUGAAUGGCAUUACGAGGGCUCAACUGUCUCCUUUUUCCAGUCAGUGAAAUUNACCUGCUCGUGCAGAGGCGAGCAUAACCCCAUAAGACGAGAAGACCCUAUGGAGCUUAAAACACAAGAUCAACUAUGCUAUCAAGCCAACCACCUACGGAAAUAACAGCUAAAAGCACAAUAGUACUAUGAUCCUAAUGUUUUCGGUUGGGGCGACCACGGAGGACAAAAAAGCCUCCAUGUCGACGGGGGCACUGCCCCUAAAACCUAGGGCGACAGCCCAAAGCAACAGAACAUCUGACGAACAAUGACCCAGGCCAAAGCCUGAUCAACGAACCAAGUUACCCUAGGGAUAACAGCGCAAUCCUUUCUGAGAGUCCA
Molecule: ribosomal RNA, 403 nt
Filed under: Scaphirhynchus albus (pallid sturgeon)
Lineage: Eukaryota; Metazoa; Chordata; Actinopteri; Acipenseriformes; Acipenseridae
Description: partial 16S ribosomal RNA
Rfam family: Bacterial large subunit ribosomal RNA
Source: RNAcentral